RNAcentral lists this ribosomal RNA (425 nucleotides) under uncultured bacterium. Its description in RNAcentral is "partial 16S ribosomal RNA". It matches the Rfam family "Bacterial small subunit ribosomal RNA", at positions 354 to 796 of the family's 1533-position model. The record is from RNAcentral.
GUGGGGAAUAUUGGACAAUGGGCGCAAGCCUGAUCCAGCCAUGCCGCGUGAGUGAUGAAGGCCUUAGGGUUGUAAAGCUCUUUCAGUGGGGACGAUAAUGACGGUACCCACAGAAGAAGCCCCGGCUAACUUCGUGCCAGCAGCCGCGGUAAUACGAAGGGGGCUAGCGUUGUUCGGAUUUACUGGGCGUAAAGCGCACGUAGGCGGAUCGUUAAGUCGGGGGUGAAAUCCUGGAGCUCAACUCCAGAACUGCCUUCGAUACUGGCGAUCUUGAGUACGGAAGAGGUGAGUGGAACUCCUAGUGUAGAGGUGGAAUUCGUAGAUAAUAGGAAGAACACCAGUGGCGAAGGCGGCUCACUGGUCUGGUACUGACGCUGAGGUGCGAAAGCGUGGGGAGCAAACAGGAUUAGAUACCCUUGUAGUCC